CAUUUGAUAUGUGAUGAGCUAAGUGAUUCUGAUAAGAGUGUUCGCAAGUUAAAGUUGUCUCUUUCCCUUAGAGGAUCAUGGAAGAGCAGAAGCAAAGCAAAGCUACGACGGAGGAGUUUCAGGCAGCAGGACAUUUACGAGGAAGAGAAAUCCCCACCCCGCGCCGACGGCUGUUUCCUGAUCCUUGGACCACUGACCAGCGGCGCAUCUGAAACUAGACAUAUAAAAGUCAUUACUGGUAUACCUGCACUACAAGAAAUGUUAAAGGAGUCCUCUCACCAGAAGGAACGAGAUAUGAAAUGAAAAUGGGGACCUACAUAAAGGAAUGAAGAAUGGCAAACAGAAAUGAUGGAAUGGAGAAAGAGAAAUACAGAGUGGAGGAAAAUCUGCAUUUCACCCAAAUUGGCAUUGGAAAUCAUGAACCAGAUUCCAGGCCCUAGCAGCCCAACCUGAGUAGAGGCAGCUGGCUGCCUCCUAAAGGCUGUAGAUGACAAAGCCCACCCACCCCAGGACACCAUGGAAGAGGAGUGCCCAGCAAGAUUCUGGAGAGCAAGAGACAGCAACAUGAGAAAGAGUGGUGGGGGACGUUAUCCCAAACAGGUCCAUGAUGGUCUUAAAGAACAAGCCACAGACCAUCAGCCCUUGGCAAAAAGGGCGUCUGUUGUCCUUUAUCUCUCUGUUCCUUCUCACCUUGACUGCAUCCCUGCCUAUCACUGGGCCUGGCCCAGGAGGGAAAUGACCAUCUGGUUGGCCUGGAUAUGCUAAUGACCUCACGUGCUCUCCCCUUAAAGUGGAUUAAGACUCUAAGAUCCUAAAGAAUCAUCUGAAUAGUAGCCUCAGGAUGCCAGAGAAGUUAGGAACCAUAAGUCCUACCUGAGACAUAUUCAAGGACAGAUUUCAGCCAGAGGGACAGUCUAGUGACUUCCAGCUCUGCUUCCUGAUUCCUGUCCUCCCUUACCACAGGCUCCUGCUGGGCUGCAUGGCUGUAGUCUUUGCCCAAAGAGGGCUUACUGCAUCUUUAGAGUGCUUGUGGACCUGGUUGAGUCAGGUCUGCUCAUUUUCACUCCCCAAAAGGGCCACCUUGUCACCAUUAUGUCAGCCUCAAGGUGUCUCAGUUACUCUGUUACUCUCUCCUGCAAAGUGUGAGGCACGAUACACAAGUGGGGGCUAUUAAAUUUACUCAAGACAACUGGUAAUAAAAGACAAAGUUGCUGCCCUCCCAAAGCUGAUACUUUGCCAAUAAAGGAAGUGAAUGUGGGAUAUUUCAGAGUUCCCAUAUUGUUUGAGCAAUGUGUUUUGCGGUAGGCAUGCUAGUCUUGGGGACAGAACAAUCUGAAAGUGGAUUAUCUCCUUAUAAACUCCCCUUCUCAGGAAGAGCUUUGCAGAGAUGGCUAAACUAAUGCUAUAAAUAAGCACUUGCUCUCUGCUGCCUCCCUUAGAUCCACUAUCUGCCCUCCCCACCCUACUCUGUGUCCUGAAAGGCUGAUGCCUAUGGACUGUGUCUUCCAGGUGUUCCCACUCUCUGGCUUCAGGCUGGAUUGGCCAAUGAGAAGCACCCGUAGGACACUGGAACACAUGAAAGAAGAGAAAUCAGGUGUUCUCUUUCCACGCCCACCUGAUGUGGUACCACUGACCCAGCAGUGGCCGUGUCCUUGCAUGACCAUGGUCUCCAGCUCAUGGUCCCUCCUCCCCAGCUCCAGCUCUCACUGGGCUCUAAGAACAUAAUUUCCUCCCCUUUGACCCAGUCCACUCUGGCUCUGGGGGCCUCAACAGCCUUGCCGGCUCCCUUGCCUUCUGUGAAA
Canis lupus familiaris (dog) is the source of this 1802-nucleotide long non-coding RNA. RefSeq lists it as uncharacterized. NCBI's taxonomy places the organism in Eukaryota, Metazoa, Chordata, Mammalia, Carnivora, Canidae. The transcript is spliced from 3 exons. The record is from RefSeq and is a predicted model, not a curated record.